AGAAACUUAGGAUUAACCACAAACCAAAGGCCUUCAAAGCCUUAAAUAAGAGUUGAACCCUCUUAGUUUCUG
RNAcentral lists this transfer RNA (72 nucleotides) under Probosciger aterrimus (palm cockatoo). It matches the Rfam family "tRNA". From Rfam's summary of the family: Transfer RNA (tRNA) molecules are approximately 80 nucleotides in length. The record is from Rfam by way of RNAcentral. RNAcentral also lists the same sequence under 1 other name. Lineage: Eukaryota; Metazoa; Chordata; Aves; Psittaciformes; Cacatuidae.